RNAcentral lists this small RNA (814 nucleotides) under Tulipa regelii. Its description in RNAcentral is "eukaryotic LSU rRNA". The stretch from base 348 to 503 matches the Rfam family "5.8S ribosomal RNA". Lineage: Eukaryota; Viridiplantae; Streptophyta; Magnoliopsida; Liliales; Liliaceae. The record is from RNAcentral.
UGCGAGCGGUUCGCCUCCCGUGACGUCGCAAGAAGUCCACUGAACCUUAUCAUUUAGAGGAAGGAGAAGUCGUAACAAGGUUUCCGUAGGUGAACCUGCGGAAGGAUCAUUGUCGAUGCCCGAUCGAAAGACUGUGAACUUGUAAACGGAUGCCGCCAGGGGUGUCGGGCUGGCUCCGCGUCCCUGGAACCCUGCUGCCCCCUUUCGGAGUGACCUUGUGUCGCACGGACGGGGGUGGUACGGGAUAACGAAACCCCGGCGCUGUAUGCGCCAAGGAACAUAUAUGACCGGAUGGACGUGCGCCUUUGCCCUUGUGGUUAGGCAACGACCGCUGAACAUUAUCAUACGACUCUCGGCAACGGAUAUCUCGGCUCUCGCAUCGAUGAAGAACGUAGCGAAAUGCGAUACUUGGUGUGAAUUGCAGAAUCCCGUGAACCAUCGAGUCUUUGAACGCAAGUUGCGCCUGAGGCCUUUCGGCCGAGGGCACGCCUGCCUGGGCGUCACGCAUCGCGUCGCUCUAUGCUCCCGACCCCUGUGGCAGUGGUGUUGAUGCGGAAAUUGGCCCUCCGUGCCUCGUGUGCGGUGGGCUAAAGAGAGGGCUGCCGGCCAGGUGUGGCGCGGCAAGUGGUGGACAUAGUGCCAGCAGGAUGCCGUAGCCUCCCUGGUUUGAAGGGCCCAAGUGACCCCGAUAAGGUGAGACGCAAUCCUGUAGGGGGUUGUGUGUCGCCUCGCAAAGCGACCCCAGGUCAGGCGGGGACACCCGCUGAGUUUAAGCAUAUCAAUAAGCGGAGGAGAAGAAACUACAAGAUCCCCA